UCAGGUGGUUAUAGCACGAGGGUUCCACCUCUUCCCAUUCCGAACAGAGAAGUUAAGCCUCGUCACGCCGAUGGUACUGCGUAACAGUGGGAGAGUAGGUA
Molecule: ribosomal RNA, 101 nt
Filed under: Bacteroides ovatus
Lineage: Bacteria; Pseudomonadati; Bacteroidota; Bacteroidia; Bacteroidales; Bacteroidaceae
Also listed under: 1 other name
Source: RNAcentral